GCAGGUAUAGCUCAGUGGUGGAGUACAUGCUUAGCACGCAUCAGGUCCUGGGUUCAAUCCUCAGUACCUCCG
RNAcentral lists this transfer RNA (72 nucleotides) under Camelus bactrianus (Bactrian camel). It matches the Rfam family "tRNA". From Rfam's summary of the family: Transfer RNA (tRNA) molecules are approximately 80 nucleotides in length. Their secondary structure includes four short double-helical elements and three loops (D, anti-codon, and T loops). Further hydrogen bonds mediate the characteristic L-shaped molecular structure. tRNAs have two regions of fundamental functional importance: the anti-codon, which is responsible for specific mRNA codon recognition, and the 3' end, to which the tRNAs corresponding amino acid is attached (by aminoacyl-tRNA synthetases). tRNAs cope with the degeneracy of the genetic code in two manners: having more than one tRNA (with a specific anti-codon) for a particular amino acid; and 'wobble' base-pairing, i.e. permitting non-standard base-pairing at the 3rd anti-codon position. Lineage: Eukaryota; Metazoa; Chordata; Mammalia; Artiodactyla; Camelidae. RNAcentral also lists the same sequence under 2 other names. The record is from Rfam by way of RNAcentral.